Molecule: long non-coding RNA, 2646 nt
Organism: Sciurus carolinensis (gray squirrel)
Lineage: Eukaryota; Metazoa; Chordata; Mammalia; Rodentia; Sciuridae
Exons: 5
Source: RefSeq, a predicted model, not a curated record
ACCACCCACAACUCGCACUGCCCCACCCCCACCUGCCAGCCUAGAGGGAACCACCCUCUGCCCCCUGCCCCCUGCCUCCUGCCCUGGGAGGCCUCCACCAGACAGCCUGCCUCCGCUCCUGGAGACUUUUUAGAGCUCCCUGGAGCGCAGGGCGACUUGGCCCUGGAGCAUUGACUGGGGACAGCUGCAGCGGGGGAGGGGACAUGAGGCUCUCGCGUGGAGGAGGGUAAAGGACAGUGGCCUGGGCCAAAGUGCCCCCCCCAUGCCACACCCUUCAAACUCCCAACUCUUGGAGCUGCGGAAUUGAAGAAUGUCGCACCUUGGCAGAAGUAACUAGGCUGUCCCACCCUGGGGCAACCAGAAAGUUCUUCAGUCAGAGAAGGUUUGGGGGACCAUGGUACCCACCCCAUUUUACAGAUGUGGCCACUGAGGACCAGAAAAGAGAAGGCACUUGCCCAGGGCCGCACAGCUGGAGCUAGAACCCAGCUUCAGAACUGCCCCACACUCCCCUGGUCAUCGGCUCCCCGCUAUCCCCGGACUUUGGGGUGGGGUCCCACACUCACACAAGCCAUAACUGAGGCCUAGAGGAUGCUCCCGGGGUCUGCUGCACGGGCUAAGGACUCCUCGGAGAGAUGGGCCCAGCCGCACCCACCCUUUUAACUGGACCGGACCCGGUCUCAACUUUGCCCUUGCCCCCCUCCCAGACCGAGUUCAUCUUCCUGGGGGCGUGGCAGCUCAUCUGUGAGGACUCCCUGUCCCCACUGGUCCCUAACGCGAGAUAGGCGGGCUCUCAGGGAGACCCAGAAAGAGGCCCUUGCAAAGGACCCAGAUCUAGGCGCAUGAGCGGCCCUUGGGUCAGAGGAACAAAGGCGCCAGUGAGCGCGUGUCCAGAUCGCCUGGAACAGAAGCAGAGUCAACUUAAAUGUCACCAUAGGCUCAAAGGCCUACCCGGCGUGCCCAUGACUGACAGGCUGGACUGCUCCACCAGGAAGAGACAUUCUGACCCCAAAUGCCAAAGCAUCGACGGGGGAUUCUAUGUUCGCAGAAGUUUUCUGGAAACCUGGCUUUUCUUCCCGGGAAAAUCCUACAUACAGUCAAUAGCUCUGCCCUGGGGGCACCAUCAUCUCCCCUGAAGGAGGGGUCUGGGCCCCCUGUCUUUGGGCAAUUAGUCAAAAACCUGGGCCGAGUUGAGGGCUCAUUGCCUCCUUGGAAGGAUCUUCUCAGAUCCCUGUCUGUGACAUUCCUUUGGCAAUCCAGAUGGGACUCGAACUGAGGAACUACCUGUGAAUAGCACCUGGGAUACGAGUCGGGAGACUCCUCAGUGCCUCACCCACACAGCGCUAAGGGAAGCGCCCAGCUUACCAGGACGCGACUUCUCUGAAGAAGAUGCCCUCCCCUAGGCUUCGUGUAAUGGACCAGUGCCGCCUCCCCUGGCAUGGGCGAGGGCCUUGUUUCGUUCCUCAUGCCCACGUCGUGUGUCCUUUCUUCUCUGAAGAAGUCUGUUUCAGCGCUCACUCGGAUGAGAUUAGACUUUGAGCCUAAAGACUCAACUGCGGUGGCUCGAACUGGCUCUGGUUUUCAUAAUUUUGGGAACGGGAACUCAAAAGCGUUGGAGUGUCCCCUGAGUACUCAGGGUGUCUCCAGGGACGCCUGGAGCAAAUGUCGCCGCUGGAGGAAGGGGUCACCCUCUGGCCAUUUGGUGGCUGAACUCGGGUACAGGCACCCACCAGGACUUGUGUCCCACAGUCCCACCACCGGCAGGUUCGGAAUUCUUCCAUCUUGUUAAGAUAAGGGAGAUCCAACAUCUAUUCCUGUAAACUCACUUCAGAUUUAUAUAGUAAGUCAUUGAAAUGACUAUAUCCAGAGCACAGAUCUCGAAAGGCUCCAAAAGGCACAGCCAUAGAUCACGUGAUUAAUAGAAGGCAUGAGAAAAAUCUAUGAGCGACCAGUCAGCUAUGAUCAAGUCCAGGAGCUCCUCGGGAAAAGGGUGUCCCACGUAUCCGCCCCGUGCUCGGUGCCUUGCUAUCUCCUUUCACCACAUCACCCCCUACUUGGUGGCUGCCAUUGGGUGGAACUUCUGCAAGAGGAAGUCAGUCAGAAGAGCGAGAAGACAGGCCACCUGGAUGUGGGAGCGGCCUGGCUGCAGGUCUGUGGUGUCUCUGAAUCUGUCUCCAGGCCUGGACAGUGGGAAUGUGGCAGUACAGGUGUGAUGUGUGAGGAUGUUUCCUUCCCUCCCGUGGCCAAGGCCAGGCCCCUGCCCCAGGGAUUGUCUGCUCUACUCCACACCCUGCAGGAGCGGCUGGGAACCCCAUCCCCGCAGCCUGGGUUUGCCUGCUGCUGUGAGAAAUGAAUUCCACUUGUCCAGAUGGAAUCUGGGCCAGUGGGGCCCUUCCAGCCUGGCCCCGACGGAGGCUCUACUUCCUCCAGCUGGCACUGGCUGGGAGGGUGGAAGCCGCAGAGGCGCCGUCCACUCCCCCAGCUAAGCUGGCUGCCCCAGCCAGCCGCAGUCCUAGAUAUCAGUGGGGAGGGACCCCGGAGGAGAUAGCCUGACCUGCUCCCUACUUCCUUCCAGCACUAGGGGUUGAACCCAGAGGCAUUUAACCACUGAGUCACAUCCCCAGCCCUUUUUUUUGUAUUUUAUUUAGA